UGGGCGUUCGGUGGAUGCCUGGGUACCAAGAGCUGAUGAAGGACGUUGUGGCCGGCGAUAGCCUCGGGGAGUUGGCGAGCGAGUGUUGAUCCGAGGGUGUCCGAAUGGGGGAACCUAGCUGGGGUUGUGCCUGGUUACCAUCACUUGAAGACUGUGUGUAUAGGGUGGUGGGGGGAACGCGGGGAAAUGAAACAUCUGAGUACCCGUAGGAGAAGAUAUUCUGUGAGUAGUGGCGAGCGAAAGCGGAGGAGGCUAAACCAUGCGCGUGGAGAAGUCGGCGGGCGUUGCGUGUGUGGGGUUGUGGGAGCUGCCUGUUUUACUUUCUGCCGGGGGUAAGCAUUGUGGUGUGUGUGGAGGUGAACCGUGUGGGAGAGCGGACCGAAGAGCGUGAGAGUCGUGUAGCUGGACAUGCAUGUUGUGGUGUUGGUGGUGUUCCCAAGUAGUGCGGGGCUCGUGGAAUCUCGUGUGAAUCUGCCAGGACCACCUGGUAAGCCUAAAUACUUCUUGGUGACCGAUAGUGGAGAGUACCGUGAGGGAAUGGUGAAAAGUACCCCGGGAGGGGAGUGAAAGAGUACCUGAAACCGGACGCUUGUAAGCCGUCGGAGCCUUGCGGGGUGACGGCGUGCCUUUUGAAGAAUGAGCCUGCGAGUCAGUGGCAUGUGGCGUGCUUAACCCGUGUGGGGGAGGCGUAGCGAAAGCGAGUCUGAAAAUUUUUGAGGGCGUGUGUCGCGUGUUCUGGACCCGAAGCGGGGUGAUCUACCCAUGGCCAGGUUGAAGCAAGGGUAAGACUUUGUGGAGGACCGAACCCACCAGGGUUGAAAACCUGGGGGAUGAGUUGUGGGUAGGGGUGAAAGGCCAAUCAAACUCCGUGAUAGCUGGUUCUCCCCGAAAUGCAUUUAGGUGCAGCGUUGUGUGGUUCCUGCCGGAGGUAGAGCGACUGGUUGGUUGAUGGGCCUUGUGGGUUACUGACGUCAGCUAAACUCCGAAUGCUGGUAGGGUGAGCAUGGCAGUGAGACAGCGGGGGAUAAGCUUCGUUGUCGAGAGGGAAACAGCCCAGAUCAUCAGCUAAGGCCCCUAAGCGUAUGCUCAGUGGGAAAGGAUGUGUAAUCGCGUUGACAACCAGGAGGUUGGCUUAGAAGCAGCCAUCCUUGAAAGAGUGCGUAAUAGCUCACUGGUCAAGUGGUUGUGCGCCGAUAAUGUAGCGGGGCUGAAGUAUACCGCCGAAGCUGUGGCACUCACACGUGAUGGCUUGUCUCCAUGUAGUGGAGGUGGGUGUGUGGGUGGGUAGGGGAGCGUCCUGCAUGUGGUGAAGCCUGCUGGUGAUGGUGGGUGGAGUGUGUGGGAGUGAGAAUGCAGGCAUGAGUAGCGAAUUCUGGGGUGGGAAUCCCCAGCGCCGAUUGACUAAGGGUUCCAGGGCGAGGUUUAUCCGCCCUGGGUUAGUCGGGUCCUAAGGCGAGGCCGACAGGCGUAGUCGAUGGAUAACCAGUUGAUAUUCUGGUACCGCCUAUACACCGACAAAUACUGAAACUUGUGAUGCGUGCUGCCGCGUUGUGCUCGGGCCCUUCUUUAAUUGGAGGGGUGUUGGGUGCGGGGUUGUGGUGUGUUGAUGAGCGGUAGGUAAGCGUGUUAACAGGGGUGACGCAGGAAGGUAGCUGCCGCGCACUGGUGGUUGUGUGUCUAAGGUUGUGGCCUGUUUCCUAGGGAAAUCCGGGAGGCGUGAAGGGUGAGGACUGAUGGGGGUGCCCCCGUGUGGGGUGUCUGGUGGUGAUCCUAUGCUGCCGAGAAAAGCCUCGACGUUAGGGGUGUAGGCGCCCGUACCCGAAACCGACUCAGGUGGUCAGGUAGAGUAUACCGAGGCGUUCGAGUGAAUCAUGGUUAAGGAACUCGGCAAAAUUCCUCCGUAACUUCGGGAUAAGGAGGGCCCCCGACCAUUACCUGCCCGUGCGGUGUGGUAGGGGUGGGGGGUCGCAGAGAAGAGGGAGAAGCGACUGUUUACUAAAAACACAGGUGCGUGCGAAGUUGUAAAACGAUGUAUACGCACUGACGCCUGCCCGGUGCUGGAAGGUUAAGAGGACGGCUGAACCCCCCUUGGGGGUGAGGGUCUGAAUUGAAGCCCCAGUAAACGGCGGUGGUAACUAUAACCAUCCUAAGGUAGCGAAAUUCCUUGUCGGGUAAGUUCCGACCUGCACGAAUGGCGUAACGACUUCUCCACUGUCUCAACCGCGAACUCGGUGAAAUUGCAUUACGAGUAAAGAUGCUCGUUACGCGCAGAAGGACGGAAAGACCCCGGGACCUUUACUAUAGCUUGGUAUUGGUGUUCGGUACGAUUUGUGUAGGAUAGGUGGGAGACUUUGAAGCAUUAACGCCAGUUAGUGUGGAGUCAUUGUUGAAAUACCACUCUGAUCGUGCUGGACAUCUAACCUUGGACCAUGAUCUGGUUUGGGGACAGUGCCUGGUGGGUAGUUUAACUGGGGCGGUUGCCUCCUAAAAUGUAACGGAGGCGCUCAAAGGUUCCCUCAGCCUGGUUGGCAAUCAGGUGGCGAGUGUAAGUGCACAAGGGAGCUUGACUGUGAGACUGACAGGUCGAGCAGGGACGAAAGUCGGAACUAGUGAUCCGGCCAUUGCUUGUGGAAGCGUGGUCGCUCAACGGAUAAAAGGUACCCCGGGGAUAACAGGCUGAUCCUGCCCAAGAGUUCAUAUCGACGGCAUGGUUUGGCACCUCGAUGUCGGCUCGUCGCAUCCUGGGGCUGGAGUAGGUCCCAAGGGUUGGGCUGUUCGCCCAUUAAAGCGGCACGCGAGCUGGGUUCAGAACGUCGUGAGACAGUUCGGUCCCUAUCCUCUGCGCGCGUAAGAAACUUGAGAAGGGCUGUCCCUAGUACGAGAGGACCGGGACGGACGAACCUCUGGUGUGCCAGUUGUUCCGCCAGGAGCAUGGCUGGUUUGCUACGUUCGGGAAGGAUAACCGCUGAAAGCAUCUAAGUGGGAAGCCUGCUUCAAGAUAAGGUUUCUAUAGUCCUUGUGACUGGGAGGCCCCCUAUAGACCAUGGGGUUGAUAGGCCAGAAGUGGAAGCACGGUAACGUGUGUAGCUGACUGGUACUAAUUGGCCGACCAUUUACA
Molecule: ribosomal RNA, 3118 nt
Filed under: oral metagenome
Description: bacterial LSU rRNA
Rfam family: Bacterial large subunit ribosomal RNA
Source: RNAcentral